CACCAAUAAGUGGGACGAAGGCCCUAUCGCCCGGCAUUCUGGACACCGCCGCCGUGCGCCGGCCGUGGGUGGUAUUACUGGCUGGGCGCGGAGUGGAGUGUGCAGGCUGAGCGCUUCCAGUGCAUUCUGCGGCUGGGGAAUGAGGGCCUCGGGCCGGGCAUAGGAGGUGGUAUCGCCGGCGGAGCGCAGAAUCACCCGCUGGAGGCUUCCCACGGUGACUUGCAGAAGUCCGCUGAGACCCGAGGAAGCCGAGGCGGGGCACAGAGCGUGUGUUUGGUGUGGUGGCGAUACUCGUGCCUCCAUCUUGGGUGCUGGCAGCGGAAACCACUCUCCCAGCUUCCGCUGCGCGGAGCCUGACUCGCAGCGUCCCACGCCAGUCGGGGUCGUCUGCGCCGCGUGCCCCAGAAACACCCCGAAGAGUUCUCCCUCUCCUCUCUGGUGUCCCCUGUUCGACAUCCCACCAACCUUAGUCUCCUUUGAAGAACUAUCCACAGUUUCUGGUGUUCUCCAGUCUCGCCUAGCCAACAUCUUUGUGAUUUUCAAACGUUAGUUUAUCCCCAACAUCAUUUGGAGAAAUGUUAAACUUGCAAAUUCUGAGGCCCGCACCCGGAAUUCUGAUUGACUUACCCGGGGGUGGCGGCGAUAACUUGGACGUUAACUCAGUAAACGACUUGCGUGAUUUUAAUGCAGCUGGUCCGACGACCGCAUUUCGGCAAUCUCUGAAUCACCGAGUUGGAGUCUGUUGCUUGCUGUGGGACAAAGGCGUCAACUCAAAUUCUUGACUCCCAGGAAGAUCUGCCUAAUCUAGUGUGCGAGUCAUUGGUCCUUGUAUAACUAAGGACAAGGCCAACUGGUAACUCAUUAGAUAAGAACAUCGAGUCCAUCACUUGUUUGGAGAGUUAGGAGGCUCAUAAUUUGGGGUGAUUCACAGAUUAUAAAGCAUUUUCACCAUAUAGAAAAAUUUUGGUGAGGAAGAUUGUCCCUGAACUAACAUCUGUGCCAAACUUUCUGUAUAUGGGAAUGUGGGAAGCUGCCACAGCAGGGCUUGAUGAACAGUGUGUAGGGCUGGCCCGCUGCCCCCCCCCC
This 1086-nucleotide long non-coding RNA is filed under the name Equus caballus (horse). Its description in RNAcentral is "lncRNA (ENSECAG00000052703.1)". Lineage: Eukaryota; Metazoa; Chordata; Mammalia; Perissodactyla; Equidae. The record is from RNAcentral.